AGAACGAACGCUGGCGGCAGGCCUAAUACAUGCAAGUCGAACGCACUCUUCGGAGUGAGUGGCAGACGGGUGAGUAACGCGUGGGAACCUUCCCAAUGGUACGGAAUAACUCCGGGAAACCGGUGCUAAUACCGUAUAAGCCCCUCGGGGGGAAAGAUUUAUCGCCAUUGGAUGGGCCCGCGUCGGAUUAGCUAGUUGGUGAGGUAACGGCCCACCAAGGCUAUGACGGGUAGCUGGUCUGAGAGGACGACCAGUCACACUGGAACUGAGACACGGUCCAGACACCUACGGGUGGCAGCAGUCGAGAAUUUUUCUCAAUGGGGGCAACCCUGAAGGAGCGACGCCGCGUGGAGGAUGAAGGCUUUCGGGUUGUAAACUCCUGUCAUUUGAGAACAAGUGUAGCCAAGUAACUACUGGCUACUUGAUAGUAUCAGAAGAGGAAGGGACGGCUAACGUCUGUGCCAGCAGCCGC
This 472-nucleotide ribosomal RNA is filed under the name uncultured bacterium. Its description in RNAcentral is "SSU rRNA". It matches the Rfam family "Bacterial small subunit ribosomal RNA", at positions 26 to 518 of the family's 1533-position model. The record is from RNAcentral.